UACGUAGGGUGCAAGCGUUAAUCGGAAUUACUGGGCGUAAAGCGUGCGCAGGCGGUUGUGCAAGACAGGUGUGAAAUCCCCGGGCUCAACCUGGGAAUGGCAUUUGUGACUGGAAGGCUAGAGUGUGUCAGAGGGGGGUAGAAUUCCACGUGUAGCAGUGAAAUGCGUAGAGAUGUGGAGGAAUACCGAUGGCGAAGGCAGCCCCCUGGGAUAACACUGACGCUCAUGCACGAAAGCGUGGGGAGCAAACAGG
This 253-nucleotide ribosomal RNA is filed under the name uncultured bacterium. RNAcentral's name for it is "partial 16S ribosomal RNA". It matches the Rfam family "Bacterial small subunit ribosomal RNA", at positions 524 to 776 of the family's 1533-position model. The record is from RNAcentral.